AAGACUUGUUUCUCCCCCAGGGUAGAGCUUUUGUGACAUCACACUAGAGCUGGAGGUAGAGAUAGUGACCUAGUUCUCAUGGAGUAGCACUGUUUGAGGAGGGCUCACUGGGAACAUGAUACGGUGGUCCCUAGUUUUCCUGGUUUGCCUUCCUCAAAGUAAAAUCUCUGCCUUAUGAAUGAGCUGAACAGGAUCAACUGGGACCCUGCUUUGGAUCAGCAUGACAUGCCUGGGGGGAGUUUCUAAUUUAUGAAUGAGGCUCCUUGGGGAAGAGAGACCUGAUCUCUCUGCUGCUCUUGCCUGGAAUAAAGCUCCUACAACAAGGGACUGAGAGAUGAGAAAAACCUGACAGCAUGCUCUUCACAAGUUGGAAAUGUAGUCCUACACUGAUGCUAUGAGGAAAGGGAGCCUCCAUCUUCAUCACUGUACUUACCAGAAUGAGAGCUCCUGGAACAUUUUCAUAAGAAGUGAUGUGGGGGAAGAAAAAGGACAGGAGUUCUAGUUUUGAAUGGUCACACACCAACUCUGAUCUGCUCAUCUAGAUUAAGAAUGAUCAAAUAGAUCUAUCUAUCAGAAAUUUUAUAAAUUUCUGACAUGAAGAAACAACUGGAAGGGAGUGCAGGAUGCCAAGAAGUAUGGAAAUAAUUUUCUCUUGCACUUUCUUUGUAUCAAGGACUGUCCCAGUUAUAUGACCCCUAUAAUAAAGGUGAAAAUAAAUGUUUCCAGAAGAAAAAUGAGUCCAGUGGGAAUGUGUCAAACGUUUUAAUCAACAGCCUAAAUCUUUGGAGGAGAAAUGAUAAGUUCUUCUCAGAGUGGAUACAGAAGAGAUAUAGAAGAUGUGAGGAGGAAGAAGGAAAGAAAGAAUUUCCCCAGCAGCAUAUGUAUUUACUGAUGUCCAUGUUGUGGGUGAUUGGAGUUUGAACCACAGUGGUGACUAUAAGCAUCAGCAUAGAAAGACAUGAAUUUUGGAGACAUUUGGGAAGUCGGAGGCUGCAGUUCUUAGGCUUUUAUUAUUCCUUCCCUAAAGAGCUUUCUCUGACUAUACCCAUCUAUAGGAAUGCUUCUUAAGGGGCAAGGACUAGAUUUAUGUUUUUUCCUAGUCCACCUUGUACUAAUACUUUUGUAAAAAGCAAUAAAAAUAAAUUAGUAGAAAAAUGAAAUAGAAAA
Molecule: long non-coding RNA, 1167 nt
Filed under: Vulpes vulpes (red fox)
Lineage: Eukaryota; Metazoa; Chordata; Mammalia; Carnivora; Canidae
Description: lncRNA (ENSVVUG00000014384.1)
Source: RNAcentral